UGAGCCCUGCAGGUCACCUUCUCCUGACC
This 29-nucleotide non-coding RNA is filed under the name Homo sapiens (human). Lineage: Eukaryota; Metazoa; Chordata; Mammalia; Primates; Hominidae. The record is from RNAcentral.